GCCCUCGUAGCUCAGGGGAUAGAGCACCGGCCUCCGGAGCCGGGUGCGCAGGUUCGAAUCCUGCCGAGGGCGCCA
This 75-nucleotide transfer RNA is filed under the name bacterium. RNAcentral's name for it is "tRNA-Arg". It matches the Rfam family "tRNA". Rfam says of the family: Transfer RNA (tRNA) molecules are approximately 80 nucleotides in length. Their secondary structure includes four short double-helical elements and three loops (D, anti-codon, and T loops). Further hydrogen bonds mediate the characteristic L-shaped molecular structure. tRNAs have two regions of fundamental functional importance: the anti-codon, which is responsible for specific mRNA codon recognition, and the 3' end, to which the tRNAs corresponding amino acid is attached (by aminoacyl-tRNA synthetases). tRNAs cope with the degeneracy of the genetic code in two manners: having more than one tRNA (with a specific anti-codon) for a particular amino acid; and 'wobble' base-pairing, i.e. permitting non-standard base-pairing at the 3rd anti-codon position. The record is from RNAcentral. RNAcentral also lists the same sequence under 5 other names.